RNAcentral lists this ribosomal RNA (1043 nucleotides) under Ligilactobacillus salivarius. RNAcentral's name for it is "bacterial SSU rRNA". It matches the Rfam family "Bacterial small subunit ribosomal RNA", at positions 1 to 1011 of the family's 1533-position model. The record is from RNAcentral. Lineage: Bacteria; Bacillati; Bacillota; Bacilli; Lactobacillales; Lactobacillaceae.
UUAAAAUGAGAGUUUGAUCCUGGCUCAGGACGAACGCUGGCGGCGUGCCUAAUACAUGCAAGUCGAACGAAACUUUCUUACACCGAAUGCUUGCAUUCACCGUAAGAAGUUGAGUGGCGGACGGGUGAGUAACACGUGGGUAACCUGCCUAAAAGAAGGGGAUAACACUUGGAAACAGGUGCUAAUACCGUAUAUCUCUAAGGAUCGCAUGAUCCUUAGAUGAAAGAUGGUUCUGCUAUCGCUUUUAGAUGGACCCGCGGCGUAUUAACUAGUUGGUGGGGUAACGGCCUACCAAGGUGAUGAUACGUAGCCGAACUGAGAGGUUGAUCGGCCACAUUGGGACUGAGACACGGCCCAAACUCCUACGGGAGGCAGCAGUAGGGAAUCUUCCACAAUGGACGCAAGUCUGAUGGAGCAACGCCGCGUGAGUGAAGAAGGUCUUCGGAUCGUAAAACUCUGUUGUUAGAGAAGAACACGAGUGAGAGUAACUGUUCAUUCGAUGACGGUAUCUAACCAGCAAGUCACGGCUAACUACGUGCCAGCAGCCGCGGUAAUACGUAGGUGGCAAGCGUUGUCCGGAUUUAUUGGGCGUAAAGGGAACGCAGGCGGUCUUUUAAGUCUGAUGUGAAAGCCUUCGGCUUAACCGGAGUAGUGCAUUGGAAACUGGAAGACUUGAGUGCAGAAGAGGAGAGUGGAACUCCAUGUGUAGCGGUGAAAUGCGUAGAUAUAUGGAAGAACACCAGUGGCGAAAGCGGCUCUCUGGUCUGUAACUGACGCUGAGGUUCGAAAGCGUGGGUAGCAAACAGGAUUAGAUACCCUGGUAGUCCACGCCGUAAACGAUGAAUGCUAGGUGUUGGAGGGUUUCCGCCCUUCAGUGCCGCAGCUAACGCAAUAAGCAUUCCGCCUGGGGAGUACGACCGCAAGGUUGAAACUCAAAGGAAUUGACGGGGGCCCGCACAAGCGGUGGAGCAUGUGGUUUAAUUCGAAGCAACGCGAAGAACCUUACCAGGUCUUGACAUCCUUUGACCACCUAAGAGAUUAGG